UUGGAAUUUGUGUCAAAUGUUUUGACUCCUUGGUGUUUUUCCAUACAAUACAAUGUAAAAUAUUUUGCCCCAUAACACACAUUUAUUUUUUCAUAUAAUAUGUAUAAGACUUAAUAGCUCAUGAAAGGUCAUUUACACAAAUUUUCGAAGAUUCUUGAUUUUCUUUCUUUUGUUUUGAGACCCAAAUAAUACCAAUGCAAAUAAAAGGGAAAAGCCCAAGUCAGCCUUUUCCCGCC
RNAcentral lists this long non-coding RNA (236 nucleotides) under Mytilus galloprovincialis (Mediterranean mussel). Lineage: Eukaryota; Metazoa; Mollusca; Bivalvia; Mytilida; Mytilidae. The record is from RNAcentral.